RNAcentral lists this ribosomal RNA (499 nucleotides) under uncultured bacterium. Its description in RNAcentral is "partial 16S ribosomal RNA". It matches the Rfam family "Bacterial small subunit ribosomal RNA", at positions 28 to 507 of the family's 1533-position model. The record is from RNAcentral.
GACGAACGCUGGCGGCGUGCCUAAUACAUGCAAGUCGAGCGGACUUUCAAGAAGCUUGCUUUUUGAAAGUUAGCGGCGGACGGGUGAGUAACACGUGGGCAACCUGCCUGCAAGACGGGGAUAACUCCGGGAAACCGGGGCUAAUACCGGAUAAUAUCUUCCUUCGCAUGAAGGAAGGUUGAAAGGCGGCGCAAGCUGCCGCUUGCAGAUGGGCCCGCGGCGCAUUAGCUAGUUGGUGAGGUAACGGCUCACCAAGGCGACGAUGCGUAGCCGACCGGAGGGGGUGAUCGGCAACACUGGGACUGAGACACGGCCCAGACUCCUGCAGGAGGCAGCAGUAGGGAAUCUUCCGCCAUGGACGAAAGUCUGACGGAGCAACGCCGCGGGAGCGAAGAAGGUCUUCGGAUCGUAAAGCUCUGUUGUCAGGGAAGAACAAGUACCGUUCGAACAGGGCGGUACCUUGACGGUACCUGACAAGAAAGCCACGGCUAACUACGUG